AUGUGGGCCAUGUUCUUCAAUUUGUAGAUUUUCAGCAAAGAAGUAUUUGGUCCAUAGAG
Monodelphis domestica (gray short-tailed opossum) is the source of this 59-nucleotide microRNA precursor. It matches the Rfam family "mir-7386 microRNA precursor family". The record is from Rfam. NCBI's taxonomy places the organism in Eukaryota, Metazoa, Chordata, Mammalia, Didelphimorphia, Didelphidae.